RNAcentral lists this ribosomal RNA (439 nucleotides) under uncultured Bifidobacterium sp. RNAcentral's name for it is "bacterial SSU rRNA". It matches the Rfam family "Bacterial small subunit ribosomal RNA", at positions 189 to 640 of the family's 1533-position model. The record is from RNAcentral. Lineage: Bacteria; Bacillati; Actinomycetota; Actinomycetes; Bifidobacteriales; Bifidobacteriaceae.
CAUGGGGUGUCGGGAAAGAUUUCAUCGGUAUGGGAUGGGGUCGCGUCCUAUCAGGUAGUCGGCGGGGUAACGGCCCACCGAGCCUACGACGGGUAGCCGGCCUGAGAGGGCGACCGGCCACAUUGGGACUGAGAUACAGCCCAGACUCCUACGGGAGGCAGCAGUGGGGAAUAUUGCACAAUGGGCGCAAGCCUGAUGCAGCGACGCCGCGUGCGGGAUGACGGCCUUCGGGUUGUAAACCGCUUUUGAUCGGGAGCAAGCCUUCGGGUGAGUGUACCUUUCGAAUAAGCACCGGCUAACUACGUGCCAGCAGCCGCGGUAAUACGUAGGGUGCAAGCGUUAUCCGGAAUUAUUGGGCGUAAAGGGCUCGUAGGCGGUUCGUCGCGUCCGGUGUGAAAGUCCAUCGCUUAACGGUGGAUCUGCGCCGGGUACGGGCGGG